AAUUCGGCCAAAGAAAACUGAACAUCCCUCUGAAAAUUCUGAGUGGGGAUUAAGAAACAGAGACUAUGCUACAGACCAGUGCCCUUAGAGCAUGUGCUUGCUGACACCACUCUAAGUGGCAGUAGCAGAAGUCAUCUGGUACAAAGAAAAGGGUUUAUAUGUAGACAUAGGAAGUAGCAUCGAACAUCAAAAUGGAACACAAAUUGGCAAGGGCUUGAGGAAUCACAGCAGAUAGAUUUCAGCAAAGAAGCCGAAGGAUGUCCUGGGAAUUAUCUGGUAAGGGCCCAGCCCACUACAAGGGAGGGGCUCCAGGAGCAGUGACAAUAGCUGUGGCAACACUGUCCUGGAAGGCAGGUCUUCUCAUUCCCACAUUAUUGCUCAUCUUGAUGCCUCAAAAUUCACAGCAUCAGCCACAGCUAUAAAUGCUUCCAUGAGAGAUAAGAGGGUUGAAAGAUGUCUGGUGCUUUUGCUGUUAAGGCAAUCUUGAGGCAGAAGUAUAAUGUCUACUAGCCAUCUGACUCAAAGUCCAGAUGGUCCAAGUCAAAGCCACACAUAGCUACCUUAUGACAUCAGGAACUAGCACCAAAACAGACUAAGUAAUUUGGAAGAUGUUCACACAGCAACUCAAAAAUUAGUAGCUCUCACAAUUGCUGCUCAAACCCUCCACUUCCACAUUUAUAAAAUGUUGUCCACUCACAUGCUAACAGGGACAGGCAAGACACAUGAGUGAGUGGCAGCAGGAAAUGCUAUAACCUUUGGAAAAUGGGUGUCAAAUAACUCACCUAAAGAGAGGAGCCACUAUCUAGUGAAGACAACUGUCAACAAGUGAGAACAGAUGUCCCAUGUCACCAGAUUUUCCCAUCCUUCCAUAUAACCUGGAAAUACACAGCUGAAGCGUAUUCACUGGAGUUUUUAACUUGACAACUAAUACAACAUUCUUAAUGGUCAAAACUGACCUGGGAGCUAUUUCAUGUGGCCCACAGGCUACAAAUGUGGACCAUCUGCAAAGCUCUCCUUCAGCCUGAAUUGUCUUGGUUCAGUCAUUGAGUCCAGUCUCUUUGUUCUCAAUACAAGGAGUCCCAUUCCCUGAACUGCAGUCAGGAACUCAUGAGCUAUGUAAAGGCAAAGAAGCGCCUGUCAGUCCUAAGAUGUGCCCUCUUCCCUCCCUGUAUCUCAUUUGUCAGUGUUCAGUUGUCCCCACUUGAGCAGUUCAAGUACAUCCAUAUGCUCUCUUCCGCCCAUAAUUCAAAAGUCCUCCAGUUCAGUUUGUUGGUAGAAGUACUCAAUGCCUAAAAGAUUUGUGACAUCUCUUUUGGACGGCUACUUAAGCUCCUGUAGCCACCAAAUAAAAACACAUACCAUCAGUAUCAUGACCAAACAUUUACUAGGUACCCUUCACCAAGCUAGCUGCCAUACAUAACCUGCCAUCCAGGCCACCUCCCCAUGUACGCAGUGCUGUAUAGUGAUGACCAGUACAUUGUCUGAGUCAGUCUGCCUGUUUAAACGCAAUUCCUUGACUUAUGAGCUGUGUGACUUUGUACAAGUCAUUCUGCUUCUCUGUAUCUCAAUAACUUCAACUAUAAAAAGAUGAUUAUGGAGUUCCCAUCGUGGCGCAGUGGCUAACGAAUCUGACUAUGAACCAUGAGGUUGCAGGUUCGUUCCCUGCCCUCACUCAGUGGGUUAAAGAUCCGGUGUUGCUGUGAGCUGUGGUGUAGGUCACAGACGCUCGGAUCCCGUGUUGCUGUGGCUCUGGCACAGUGGCUACAGCUCCGAUUCGACCCCUAGCCUGGGAACCUCCAUAUGCCACAGGAGCAGCUCAAGAAAAGGCCAAAAAAAAAAAAAAAAAGAUUAUAAGAGUUCCCAUUGUGGCUCAGUGGUAACAAACCCAAGUAGUAUCCAUGAGUAUGUGGGUUGAUCUCUGGCCCUGCUCAGUGGGUUAAGGAGGAUCCCACAUUGCCACGAGCUGUGGUAUAGGUCAUAGACAUGGCUCAGAUCUGGUGUUGCUGUGGAUGCGGCAUGGGCUGGCAGCUAGAACCCACAAAAUGGCGCCUCCAUAUAACAUGUCUAAUAUGGGUUUGCUGGUAUAAUAAUCCAAGAGAACUAAUUGGCGUGAUUAGUAUGAAUACCACCAAAAUGGGUGCAGAUAAACAGAGAGGCAGAAUUCAAAGGCAAAACAAAGGCUCUGAGCUGCCUGACUGAAUCCUACUAUCUCCCACCCUCAAUCACUCAUGACUCCCCACAAGGUCACGGAAAGAAAGAAAUGCACAUAGGACCAAGCAAGGUAGCACUGUAUUACUGGCUGGGCUGCAUUUAUCAGGCCACUGAGGCCAAAGUGGGUGUGGCCUGGGGCUCAGGCUGGGGUCCCAACGUGGACCUCUGGAGAAUGAGGCUAUGAUAAGUACGGAGGAGGAUAGUUACACAGGUAGUUGUAGAAGUGUCAAUAAUGGACCACAGGUAGAGAGAGAAACCUAGGGGACUUUGGGAGACCAUUUUAAGUAAAUAAUUUCUUGAAGGCCAUCAGAAUAGGCAGGCUUCCUUGACUAGUGGAGGCAGGAGAUAAGCCUCAGGUCAUUGGGUGGUAGAUGGGAUGAGGCCUGCAUUCAGGUUCAGGCCAAGGGCAGGAGUUUAAGGACAACCCUUCUGCUGAUUUGAAUAAGCACCAUGACAGUCCUAGUUUGACUUUUAGGGUCAAAUACUCUCUUACCAGAUACCAAAGAGGAACUAUUACUGGAAGAAAGAGGAAGAAGCAGUCUUUUCCCACCUCCACUACACUUGGAUUAUAAAACUGUAGCCCACCUAAUCCUCAGGGCAGAGCCUCCUUCCUGCCAGUUAGCAUCCCUCACAAGCAUCCUACCUUAACAAAUAUAUUUCUUGCCAAUCAUUUUGUCUCUCAUUGAAUUCCUUCUGCACGGAGGCACAAAGAACCUGAACCUCAGUAAGUCCAGACAAGGGUGAGUGAUUCUAAUUUAAAAACGGUGGGUUCAAGUCCCAAUCUGCAUUUAGGAUGGGUUCGAGUCCUGGCACAUGGGUUCAAGUCCCACUGUGACCCAGCCCCUAUAGCUACAAGUGGUCUAGAAUUCAACUAUAUCAAAGGCAACUGUGCUUCCUUUCCCUCAAAUCAACAUUUUUCUUUUCUUUUUAGGGCCACACCCAUAGCAGGUGGAAGUUCCCAGGCUAAGAAUCAGAUCAGAGCCACAGCUGCUGGCCAAUGCCACAGCCACAGCAACUCGGGAUCUGAGCCAUGUCUGUGACCUACACUACAGCCACAGCAAUGCCAGAUCCAUAACCCACUGAGACAGGCCAGGGUUCAAACACACAUCCUCAUGGAUACUAGUCAGGUUUGUUACCACUGAGCCACAACGGGAAUUCUCCCAAAUCAACACUUAAACAUCUGAUGCAGCCCUGCCUGGGGAGAGGUGGAGCUCAAGGCCCAUCCACCUACACACACACACACACACACACACACACACUUCUAGAGGCCACAGAUAAACAAGAGUUCUCCCAUUUCCAUUGUACAGAAGGGAAUUAGUAUAAGCAACUACGUGUGGUCUAUUCUGGAUGGACAGCAACUUCCAGAACACUUUGGGGACAAGGGCAAGGAGGGGACAGAUGUCAGGCCCUCUCAUGUUCCCAGGUUCCUAGAGGAAAGAUUAAGGGGAGUGCCAAGGCGGUCCCCUUGAGCUGUGGACACUUUAAUGGCCCAGAAUUUGAUCAUCACUGUCUCUUCCUCCCUGGAAAUGAAGUGAACCUGAACCUGGUUCACUACCUGGAACCUGAGCCCUGCUUGGAGAAGAGGAAAGCAGGGAGGGGGGAGGCAGAGAGAGGAACCUUGAGCUUCUGCCAGAGGCCAAAACAAUAAACACAAUAGGAGUGACCCUGACAUCUCUGUGGCCUUCAGGUUUCCUUACAUGUAAAGUGAGGACUAGACCAGGGUAAGUUCCCUUCUGCUUUACACUUUAGCAACUCUAAGGCCAUGAGCUCAGGGGCCACAUCAAAUGUCUGUUCAAGUAUAAAACCAUAUGGCCAUAGCCUUGGUCCUUAGAGAAGCCACCACAAACUGAAACACUGAACUUCACCCACCUAAUUAUAUGCCUUCACUGUACCCUGCUCUUGUUCCUUGAAGAAUGUCCACCCACGUGGGGAGCUUUCAGAUGUGGAACUCUGUGUCAGGUAGAAAACCACUUCCAAAAACUAGCUCUCUGGGUACAGAAGAUAAGGGCAUCACACUGGUCAAGGGUACAGGGACUUCAGGCACUUCUGACUUGCUGAAAACAAUUACCAAUUACUCUGUGAUUCUUCAUGCUUGUUCUCAGCUCAAAUUCCACCUGGACGUUCGAGAGUUAGCAGAGCAUGUAAAGGGGGGUGUUUUUCACCUGCUCAGACAUUUUUCAGAUGCUUUUUGUAAUUGGCUAACUCAAACAUAGCUUUAUUUUACACCUACCAACAUGUUCUGAUAUUGAUGGGAAAAGGAAGUUGACAGGAAAGGGAGAUGUUACCUUCAUUUGGGCUCUAACAUGAAAGGCUGGGGAAGACCUGAUGAGGGAUUUGGCUUACCAACACAGAUAGAGCCCCCUAAAUGCAAGAGGCUGCUCAAAGGCAAAAAAAUAAAUAAAUAAAUAGAGCUUCAUAUGAGACAUAAAAAGGACAGAAUCAACAAUUCAAAUUCAAUUUGACAAUGCCAGUUUGCAACACAAGUACAGUUUUAGGUUAUGCUAAAUAUUUCUUUGCAAUGAAAAAAAAAAUUGAGAGCUGGCUGUAAUUUCUGACACACCAUAUUGCAAUGCCAUU
RNAcentral lists this long non-coding RNA (4788 nucleotides) under Sus scrofa (pig). Its description in RNAcentral is "lncRNA (ENSSSCG00035073606.1)". Lineage: Eukaryota; Metazoa; Chordata; Mammalia; Artiodactyla; Suidae. The record is from RNAcentral.